Molecule: ribosomal RNA, 1458 nt
Filed under: uncultured organism
Description: 16S ribosomal RNA
Rfam family: Bacterial small subunit ribosomal RNA
Source: RNAcentral
GAUGAACGCUGGCGGCGUGCCUAAUACAUGCAAGUCGAGCGAACGGACGAGAAGCUUGCUUCUCUGAUGUUAGCGGCGGACGGGUGAGUAACACGUGGAUAACCUACCUAUAAGACUGGGAUAACUUCGGGAAACCGGAGCUAAUACCGGAUAAUAUUUUGAACCGCAUGGUUCAAAAGUGAAAGACGGUCUUGCUGUCACUUAUAGAUGGAUCCGCGCUGCAUUAGCUAGUUGGUAAGGUAACGGCUUACCAAGGCAACGAUGCAUAGCCGACCUGAGAGGGUGAUCGGCCACACUGGAACUGAGACACGGUCCAGACUCCUACGGGAGGCAGCAGUAGGGAAUCUUCCGCAAUGGGCGAAAGCCUGACGGAGCAACGCCGCGUGAGUGAUGAAGGUCUUCGGAUCGUAAAACUCUGUUAUUAGGGAAGAACAUAUGUGUAAGUAACUGUGCACAUCUUGACGGUACCUAAUCAGAAAGCCACGGCUAACUACGUGUCAGCAGCCGCGGUAAUACGUAGGUGGCAAGCGUUAUCCGGAAUUAUUGGGCGUAAAGCGCGCGUAGGCGGUUUUUUAAGUCUGAUGUGAAAGCCCACGGCUCAACCGUGGAGGGUCAUUGGAAACUGGAAAACUUGAGUGCAGAAGAGGAAAGUGGAAUUCCAUGUGUAGCGGUGAAAUGCGCAGAGAUAUGGAGGAACACCAGUGGCGAAGGCGACUUUCUGGUCUGUAACUGACGCUGAUGUGCGAAAGCGUGGGGAUCAAACAGGAUUAGAUACCCUGGUAGUCCACGCCGUAAACGAUGAGUGCUAAGUGUUAGGGGGUUUCCGCCCCUUAGUGCUGCAGCUAACGCAUUAAGCACCCCGCCUGGGGAGUACGACCGCAAGGUUGAAACUCAAAGGAAUUGACGGGGACCCGCACAAGCGGUGGAGCAUGUGGUUUAAUUCGAAGCAACGCGAAGAACCUUACCAAAUCUUGACAUCCUUUGACAACUCUAGAGAUAGAGCCUUCCCCUUCGGGGGACAAAGUGACAGGUGGUGCAUGGUUGUCGUCAGCUCGUGUCGUGAGAUGUUGGGUUAAGUCCCGCAACGAGCGCAACCCUUAAGCUUAGUUGCCAUCAUUAAGUUGGGCACUCUAAGUUGACUGCCGGUGACAAACCGGAGGAAGGUGGGGAUGACGUCAAAUCAUCAUGCCCCUUAUGAUUUGGGCUACACACGUGCUACAAUGGACAAUACAAAGGGCAGCGAAACCGCGAGGUCAAGCAAAUCCCAUAAAGUUGUUCUCAGUUCGGAUUGUAGUCUGCAACUCGACUACAUGAAGCUGGAAUCGCUAGUAAUCGUAGAUCAGCAUGCUACGGUGAAUACGUUCCCGGGUCUUGUACACACCGCCCGUCACACCACGAGAGUUUGUAACACCCGAAGCCGGUGGAGUAACCUUUUAGGAGCUAGCCGUCGAAGGUGGG